GGAGGAAAAGGGGACGACAGAGGAUGAGAUGGCUGGAUGGCAUCACUGACUCGAUGGACGUUUUUUGGACAGGAGGCAUGUGGGAUCUUACCUCCCUGACCAGGGUUCAAACCUGUACCCCACGCAUUGGAAGGAAAGUCGUAACCACUGGACCACCAGGGAAGUCCAUCCCUAGAGCAUGGACUAUUGCAGAGGCAGAUGGAAGGAGGCAGCACCACCAGAUACCAGAGGGGCCUGAGCUGGGGGUACUGAAACCCCCUCCAGGUGGGAGAAGUUAAUGAUUAAUGAUGGUAUGCUGCCAACAAACCUGUAGACCCCAGACCAGUUAGACCUGAAGGUUGACGAUGCUGACUCCUGCUUACCUGACCACCAACCCAUCAGAAGAAUGUCCACAAACAGAUCAUACCUCUUUGAGCAGUUACUAUAAAACUUCUCACUCCCUUCCCCAAGCUGGGACACAUGG
Molecule: long non-coding RNA, 463 nt
Organism: Bubalus bubalis (water buffalo)
Lineage: Eukaryota; Metazoa; Chordata; Mammalia; Artiodactyla; Bovidae
Exons: 4
Source: RefSeq, a predicted model, not a curated record